AAGUCGUAACAAGGUUUCCGUAGGUGAACCUGCGGAAGGAUCAUUCCUGUAACCUGGUUCUGGGCUUGCCCAGUUCCAAAACUCUACACUGUGAACUUUUUAAACUAAACGUGUUCUGAGGGUAUCGUCGGCAGGAGCUCUGUUGGUGGCGCUUGCGCUGCUAGCACCUUUUGCCCACGCCAGGCACGCGGGGCUUUGCUAACCAUAAUUACUUGAAUCCUAAUAACUUUUUAAUCAAAUAACCUUUAACAAUGGAUCUCUUGGCUCCU
This 269-nucleotide unclassified non-coding RNA is filed under the name fungal sp. RNAcentral describes it as "partial internal transcribed spacer region". The stretch from base 1 to 46 matches the Rfam family "Eukaryotic small subunit ribosomal RNA", at positions 1786 to 1831 of the family's 1831-position model. The record is from RNAcentral. Lineage: Eukaryota; Fungi.